AUGACUGGGAAGGGAGGCAAGCCAUUGCUCGCGGCCAAGUCAGAGAAGUACAAGGCCAACAUCUCCAAGGCGUCCAAAGCAGGCAUGCAGCAAACAAUUGUGGGGGAUAAACGCGUUUGUCCUAGGGCGGCGGUCUACACGGCUGCUAUUCUGGAGUACCUGACUGCUGAGAUUCUAGAGCUGGCUGGAGACAGUUGCAAGUCUGAGAAUUUGGAAGAUAUCACCCCUUGCCAUCUUCAGCUGGCCAUCCGUGGCGAUGAAGACCUCAAUAAGCUUAUCAAGGGUACCAUCCCUAGUGGAGGUGUGAUCCCCAAAAUCGCCAAGGCCCUACUUGACAAGCGUCGUGCCGGUAUUAAGGAGUAA
Molecule: ribosomal RNA, 363 nt
Filed under: Triticum aestivum (bread wheat)
Lineage: Eukaryota; Viridiplantae; Streptophyta; Magnoliopsida; Poales; Poaceae
Description: partial small subunit ribosomal RNA
Source: RNAcentral